AUUUAAAUAGCUUAGUUAAAAGUAUAAUAUUGAAGAUAUUAAGAAAAUUAAAAUUAAUUUUUAAAUA
RNAcentral lists this transfer RNA (67 nucleotides) under Pheidole flaveria. RNAcentral's name for it is "tRNA-Phe". Lineage: Eukaryota; Metazoa; Arthropoda; Insecta; Hymenoptera; Formicidae. The record is from RNAcentral.